RNAcentral lists this ribosomal RNA (585 nucleotides) under uncultured bacterium. RNAcentral's name for it is "partial 16S ribosomal RNA". It matches the Rfam family "Bacterial small subunit ribosomal RNA", at positions 355 to 1375 of the family's 1533-position model. The record is from RNAcentral.
UGGGGAAUUUUGGACAAUGGGCGAAAGCCUGAUCCAGCAAUGCCGCGUGUGUGAAGAAGGCCUUCGGGUUGUAAAGCACUUUUGUCCGGAAAGAAAUCCUUGGCCCUAAUACAGUCGGGGGAUGACGGUACCGGAAGAAUAAGCACCGGCUAACUACGUGCCAGCAGCCGCGGUAAUACGUAGGGUGCAAGCGUUAAUCGGAAUUACUGGGCGUAAGGCGUGCGCAGGCGGUUUGCUAAGACCGAUGUGAAAUCCCCGGGCUCAACCUGGGAACUGCAUUGGUGACUGGCAGGCUAGAGUAUGGCAGAGGGGGGUAGAAUUCCACGUGUAGCAGUGAAAUGCGUAGAGAUGUGGAGGAAUACCGAUGGCGAAGGCAGCCCCCUGGGCCAAUACUGACGCUCAUGCACGAAAGCGUGGGGAGCAAACAGGAUUAGAUACCCUGGUAGUCCACGCCCUAAACGAUGUCAACUAGUUGUUGGGGAUUCAUUUCCUUAGUAACGUAGCUAACGCGUGAAGUUGACCGCCUGGGGAGUACGGUCGCAAGAUUAAAACUCAAAGGAAUUGACGGGGUCAUAGCUGUUUCCU